GGGGGCAUAGCUCAGCUGGGAGAGCACAACGUUCGCAACGUUGGGGUCGAGGGUUCGAAUCCCUUUGCCUCCACCA
Molecule: transfer RNA, 76 nt
Filed under: Deltaproteobacteria bacterium SM23_61
Lineage: Bacteria; Deltaproteobacteria
Also listed under: 3 other names
Description: tRNA-Ala
Rfam family: tRNA
About the family: Transfer RNA (tRNA) molecules are approximately 80 nucleotides in length. Their secondary structure includes four short double-helical elements and three loops (D, anti-codon, and T loops). Further hydrogen bonds mediate the characteristic L-shaped molecular structure. tRNAs have two regions of fundamental functional importance: the anti-codon, which is responsible for specific mRNA codon recognition, and the 3' end, to which the tRNAs corresponding amino acid is attached (by aminoacyl-tRNA synthetases). tRNAs cope with the degeneracy of the genetic code in two manners: having more than one tRNA (with a specific anti-codon) for a particular amino acid; and 'wobble' base-pairing, i.e. permitting non-standard base-pairing at the 3rd anti-codon position.
Source: RNAcentral